Molecule: ribosomal RNA, 465 nt
Filed under: uncultured bacterium
Lineage: Bacteria
Description: partial 16S ribosomal RNA
Rfam family: Bacterial small subunit ribosomal RNA
Source: RNAcentral
CCUACGGGCGACAGCAGUAGGGAAUCUUCCACAAUGGGCGAAAGCCUGAUGGAGCAACGCCGCGUGGGUGAAGAAGGUCUUCGGAUCGUAAAACCCUGUUGUUAGAGAAGAAAGUGCGUGAGAGUAACUGUUCACGUUUCGACGGUAUCUAACCAGAAAGCCACGGCUAACUACGUGCCAGCAGCCGCGGUAAUACGUAGGUGGCAAGCGUUAUCCGGAUUUAUUGGGCGUAAAGGGAACGCAGGCGGUCUUUUAAGUCUGAUGUGAAAGCCUUCGGCUUAACCGGAGUAGUGCAUUGGAAACUGGGAGACUGGAGUGCAGAAGAGGAGAGUGGAACUCCAUGUGUAGCGGUGAAAUGCGUAGAUAUAUGGAAGAACACCAGUGGCGAAAGCGGCUCUCUGGUCUGUAACUGACGCUGAGGUUCGAAAGCGUGGGUAGCAAACAGGAUUAGAUACCCCAGUAGUC